UCACAGAGCUCCAGUGCCCCCUAAAACCCAAGAGUGUGACAGCUCAGCCACAGUUACAGCUGCAGCCAGCACUCAAUAUCUGCAAGGUAAUUCAAGAUAGCUGGACCUCUCCAGUAAGAGCUAAUCCCAGGUUUGGAGCCGUGGUUUGGAAGAAAGGAGGCAAGACAAGAAGUCAGAACUGGGAGCUUCUUUUCAGUCUGACAGCUGUGAUUUAGUGUCACUGCUAGCAAUAAAAGAUGAGCAGCUC
Molecule: long non-coding RNA, 247 nt
Organism: Passer montanus (Eurasian tree sparrow)
Lineage: Eukaryota; Metazoa; Chordata; Aves; Passeriformes; Passeridae
Exons: 3
Source: RefSeq, a predicted model, not a curated record